AAAUAUUUGUAUACUCUGUUAUAUAUAACUCUUUCUAAAGUUUUUAAAAAUGUGGAAAGAACAGAAAUAGGGUGAUAGUUACUAAUAAUUGAUUUGUCCCCUUCUUUGAAAAUAGGAACAAUUUUGGCAACUUUUAACAGUUCGGGGAAAACACCUUGAUGGAUAGAAGCUUUAAAAACUUAAAAAAGAACAACUUUUAGCUGUUCAAAACAAUCUAUAAUAACGUUUCCAUUUAUUUAGUUGAUCUGUAUUUAGCAAAAAAAAAAGUUGCAGCUUAGAAAAGCGGCAAUAAAGCAAGAAUGGUAUUUCAAAUAAGAAUGCUUGCAAAAGAGAGGAACUUGCUAAAAGAAAGGAAAUUCUUGCUGCUGAGAGCUUUUACUGCAAUCCGCUUCUUGAACGCUGCCAUCUGGCGCCUAAAGUGGAAACUCAGACCUCUUUGGCUUUUCUAGGAGUGAUUUUUUGGUUCAGUGCUGAAGCCACCCUGGGCCUAAAUUAAAGAGGCCUUCUGUAUAUGGGCCCAAAAUGGAGGUAAAGAUCUGCCUCAUUUUAAAUACAAACCUCCUGGUGGCCGAAGGGAUGGCAGAUAUUUCAGGAAUGGUGACGUUUUCAACAACUAUACAUAUACUUAUUAACAAGUGCAUGCAGAUUCACUUUUUAGUGAAUUUAUAUACACCUAAUGAUAGGUGUAUGUAUAGUCUAUAUGUAUAUAUUGAUGAUGUUUAUAUAUAGUUAUAUAAAUAUAUUGAUGAUGUUUAUAUAUAUUUGUAUAUAGUCUUUUUGUAUAUUAAGUUUUGUAUAUAGUUAUGAGUUUGUUUUUUUUAAUGUAAAAUUUGUGUUUAUAUAAAUAUUAUUUAUUAUUACAAAAAGAUAUUGUUUGAGUUUCAA
Molecule: long non-coding RNA, 885 nt
Organism: Hydra vulgaris (swiftwater hydra)
Lineage: Eukaryota; Metazoa; Cnidaria; Hydrozoa; Anthoathecata; Hydridae
Source: RefSeq, a predicted model, not a curated record